CGAGCGGCGGACGGGUGAGUAAUGUCUGGGAAACUGCCUGAUGGAGGGGGAUAACUACUGGAAACGGUAGCUAAUACCGCAUGACCUCGAAAGAGCAAAGUGGGGGAUCUUCGGACCUCACGCCAUCGGAUGUGCCCAGAUGGGAUUAGCUAGUAGGUGAGGUAAUGGCUCACCUAGGCGACGAUCCCUAGCUGGUCUGAGAGGAUGACCAGCCACACUGGAACUGAGACACGGUCCAGACUCCUACGGGAGGCAGCAGUGGGGAAUAUUGCACAAUGGGCGCAAGCCUGAUGCAGCCAUGCCGCGUGUGUGAAGAAGGCCUUAGGGUUGUAAAGCACUUUCAGCGAGGAGGAAGGCAUCAUACUUAAUACGUGUGGUGAUUGACGUUACUCGCAGAAGAAGCACCGGCUAACUCCGUGCCAGCAGCCGCGGUAAUACGGAGGGUGCAAGCGUUAAUCGGAAUUACUGGGCGUAAAGCGCACGCAGGCGGUUUGUUAAGUCAGAUGUGAAAUCCCCGCGCUUAACGUGGGAACUGCAUUUGAAACUGGCAAGCUAGAGUCUUGUAGAGGGGGGUAGAAUUCCAGGUGUAGCGGUGAAAUGCGUAGAGAUCUGGAGGAAU
RNAcentral lists this ribosomal RNA (619 nucleotides) under Rahnella sp. EECC-331. RNAcentral's name for it is "bacterial SSU rRNA". It matches the Rfam family "Bacterial small subunit ribosomal RNA", at positions 92 to 707 of the family's 1533-position model. The record is from RNAcentral. RNAcentral also lists the same sequence under 1 other name. Lineage: Bacteria; Pseudomonadati; Pseudomonadota; Gammaproteobacteria; Enterobacterales; Yersiniaceae.